Salvia hispanica is the source of this 1670-nucleotide RNA transcript. RefSeq lists it as uncharacterized. NCBI's taxonomy places the organism in Eukaryota, Viridiplantae, Streptophyta, Magnoliopsida, Lamiales, Lamiaceae. The record is from RefSeq and is a predicted model, not a curated record.
CAUUUUUCAACCCUUACUUUGCGAUUCACGUCAAACCCUCCCUCUUUCAAGCGCCGCUUCUCUGCUGCCCUCGCCACCGCAAAACCUCCGUCAAAUCCUAAAUUUCAUCACCUCAGCCGCUUCUUAUUCUUCACUACGGAGUGGUGUGCUUGCAUCUUCUUGAACUCAAGACCUCGACAUUCAAUAGUUUAAGUAACCAAAAAUAAUGGUGACAUAUUCGAUUUUGGUGUUGCUCGAUUGGAAUGGAGGAGAUAGAUGGAUUGAUUUGUGCAAUUUUUUGUAUGGGCGGUAUUGGAAAAAAACUUCAAAUAGUUAUCUCGGCUCGGAUGGUGGCGUAAAUCUCGCAUAGUAAGCCUGAUAGAAAGCAAGAAAAAACACGCAUCAAUUCUACAUUGGGGAAUGGGACAUGAGGUAUGAAAGGUUCUAGGCAAUUGUAGAUGCCGCAAAAAUGUCCAUGAUAGUGUUAGCAAAUAGCGGAUAUGACGGCGCCAUGGCGCUAUGGCAUGGCGUUUGGUUGUGGAAACGCUAUAGUACCAUGGCAAUGUCAUAGCACCGCCUAAUCCACCAUUUGAAAACAUUGCGUGUGUACUGCAUUUAGGAAUGGGCCAUUAUGCUAGAAACAUGGAACUUAGAGAUGUAUUUUAUGCCUAAUUAAUUGUCUUAAGAGUUUUAGAAGUUAUAUUUUGAUUAUUCUCUAAUUUUUAAGUUACAUAUAAAUAUAUAAGUAUUAUUUUAUUUAUAAAAUUAUUGAUCGCAAUAUCCAUCAUACGAAUACGCCAUAUCCUUGUGACGGUUUUUAGGCGAACGCCAUAAGCUGCCAUACGAGAUUGAUAACAUUGGUCCAUGAACAUUCCAUUGAGUCCAGGAUAUAUGGCGUGGUAUAACAGGAUUACAGUGACGUACCUAACUCAACCUGGGGGUACGGCCAAUUGCUGGGAUGAACGAGUCGGCUUCUUCAAUGAGAUUAUUUAUUAAGGGUUUUUAGAUAUUUGGCAUUUGACUACUGGAAAAGAAAUGGACCCAAGAAUGCGACGGGUUGGAGAAAUCGCUAGACAUGUCAUUCAAUCUACGAACCACGCCGAUAUCAUGGAGUACCCGGCUUCCCAACACCAAGAUGUGGUCAUUCCUUUUGAACCACAAGACAUUCCCACGUCAGGGAGUGAAGGGUGUUCGAACUGGUGGACACGGUUACACAAAACAGAUAAGGAUGUCGCAACCGCAUCCUGAUUAUGUGCAACUAGAACCUAUAAAUCCAGAGUAUGGCCCACCUCAGUGGUCUUUCUAUCCAAGCUAGGAGUCUCAAUCACAGUGGGGUCAUCCCCUCUAUUCUCCAAGCCAACCUGAGUCUGAUUGGAGUCGUCGCCCCUAUUCACAAAGCCAAAAUGAGCCGCAAUAGAGUGGAGCCCGAGCAUCAGUCGAUUCCUUCUUCCAAAAUUAUCAGUUUGUGGCUCAAGUACGAGUUGAAGAAGAAUAUGAUGAUGAAAGAGAAGAAGAGAUUUUCAACCAGGAAGAAUAAGGGGAUUGAACCGUCGAAAUACACCUCAUCGUCUUAUAAGUAGCUCAUUUUGGAAAGAUGUAAUGUUAUGUACUUCCUCCGUCUCAUAGUAGAUGUCACACUUUCCUUUUUAGUUUGUCCCAAUAAAGAUGUCACAUUUCCUCUUUUGGAAAAA